AUCCAUGUGGUGCAAAUAUUAACACAUUCAGCUGCUAACUGAAAGGUUGGUGGUUUAAGUCCACCCAGAGGCA
RNAcentral lists this transfer RNA (73 nucleotides) under Loxodonta africana (African savanna elephant). It matches the Rfam family "tRNA". Rfam says of the family: Transfer RNA (tRNA) molecules are approximately 80 nucleotides in length. Their secondary structure includes four short double-helical elements and three loops (D, anti-codon, and T loops). The record is from Rfam by way of RNAcentral. Lineage: Eukaryota; Metazoa; Chordata; Mammalia; Proboscidea; Elephantidae.